Molecule: non-coding RNA, 72 nt
Organism: Candidatus Gottesmanbacteria bacterium
Lineage: Bacteria; Candidatus Gottesmaniibacteriota
Source: Rfam
GCGCUCGUAGUUCACUGGUAGAAUGCUUCAUUGACAUUGAAGAGGUAGAAGGUCCGAUUCCUUCCGGGCGCA